RNAcentral lists this ribosomal RNA (880 nucleotides) under uncultured organism. RNAcentral describes it as "bacterial SSU rRNA". It matches the Rfam family "Bacterial small subunit ribosomal RNA", at positions 631 to 1510 of the family's 1533-position model. The record is from RNAcentral.
UACUGUUAAACUUGAGUUACGGAGAGGAAGACGGAAUUCCCGGUGUAGGGGUGAAAUCUAUAGAUAUCGGGAAGAACACCAGUAGCGAAGGCGGUCUUCUGGACGUUAACUGACGCUAAUGUACGAAAGGUAGGGUAGCAAACAGGAUUAGAGACCCUGGUAGUCCUACCUGUAAACGUUGUAUACUAGGUGGUGGUUGUAUUGAUCCGAUCACUGCCGCAGCAAACGCAUUAAGUAUACCGCCUGGGGAGUAUGCCGGCAACGGUGAAACUCAAAGGAAUUGACGGGGGCCCGCACAAGCAGUGGAGCAUGUUGUUUAAUUCGAUGAUACGCGAGAAACCUUACCAGGUCUUGACAUAUACUCGAAUACCGUAGAGAUACGGUAGUUCUUCGGAACGGGUAUACAGGUGUUGCAUGGUUGUCGUCAGCUCGUGCCGUGAGGUGUUGGGUUAAGUCCCGCAACGAGCGCAACCCCUAUCCUUUGUUGCUAACAAUUCGGUUGAGCACUCUAAGGAGACUGCCGGUGACAAACCGGAGGAAGGUGGGGACGACGUCAAAUCAUCACGGCCCUUACGACCUGGGCUACAAACGUGCUACAAUGGUCGGUACAAAGAGUUGCGAUACAGUGAUGUUGAGCUAAUCUCAAAAAGCCGUCCUCAGUUCGGAUUGGAGUCUGAAACCCGACUCCAUGAAGCUGGAAUUGCUAGUAAUCGCACAUCAUCAUGGUGCGGUGAAUAUGUUCCCGGGCCUUGUACACACCGCCCGUCACAUCACCCGAAUUGAUUAUACCCGAAGUAUCCGUGCUAACCCUUGUGGAGGCAGGGUCCUAAGGUAUGGUUGGUAAGGGGGAUGAAGUCGUAACAAGGUAACCAAGGGCGAA